Dreissena polymorpha is the source of this 8110-nucleotide long non-coding RNA. RefSeq lists it as uncharacterized. The transcript is spliced from 2 exons. The record is from RefSeq and is a predicted model, not a curated record. Lineage: Eukaryota; Metazoa; Mollusca; Bivalvia; Myida; Dreissenidae.
AACUGUUUUACAUCGCUAGAUGAUUGUGUACAUGUAUGUUCCCUAUUUUAAAGCCAAUUCUCUGAUAUUAAAAGUUUUAUUUUAAAUGUAACAUUAUUUUAUGAAAGAGACCAUUUUUUAGCAUCUUAUUAUUUAAAUGCAUGUGUGCUUAUAAAGUAGUAUGCACGGCUUUGUUCAAAUUGUAUUUAUUUCUGUUCUAGAAUCUAGACUGGAUUAUAAACAAAAAAUAUUUUUAAUGUAUUAAUUGAAAAAAUUGCUCCCUUUUUAGCAUAAUUAUGUUAUAUGUUAUUUUUAUUCGCUAAUUUUUUUAAAGUUCUUUUUAUGUUAGUAAUUGCUGAGAACUCCUGUGUUAAGGAUACUGAAAUAGUAAGUCAACAAUAAACUGUAGACAACACACAAUGUAUUGUUAAUUACCAAUUAAUACUUUUGUUGUGAUAUUAACUUGUACAAGAUUAGGUCCUUAAGCCUUGACGUUUUUAUAAAACAACACAUGGAAUUUGAAACCUACUGAAUUUGAAUUUUAAGAAACAGAUUCCUGUUCAUAAAUACAAUAUCAUUGUUAAGUCUGUAAAAUUAAAGAUAACCACACAAGCAAAUGGACGGUAUUUUAACAUUGUUAAGUGACAAUGUAUUUUGCUACAAAGGAUUAUAAUUGAUUGUGAUUUUCAAUAUAGUCAACUCUUUAUUAAUACAUUUUUUUGAUUUGGUUAUUGUUUUACUUCAGUGACUGUAGAUUUUUUUUACUCCGUACAUCAUAUUUGUGAUGAAUAAAUGAACAUGGAAAAAACAUAAGUUUUUAGACUUAAUGCAGCUGAGCUGCUUCUUUACAUUGUCAACUUUCAUAUGGUUGAAAUCAGGAAAGAUCUGGGAUCACAAAGGCACAGGCCGCCCACUAGGGGGGAGGUUGGAAAGCCUGAUUUGUCGGGUGACAAUUUAUAACGAUUUUAACUAGUUUGAACAUUUUUUAGUCCAACACUUGUAAAUAAUAGUUUUCAGUCAAUUUAAUUAAUUUGACAUAUGAACUUUUGCAAAAGUAUUUAACAAUUCAACAAAAUUGCACAUUUUUGUGUUUGAACUUACACUUCGGGAACUUAAAAGGAACAUGGUUCAGGACCCUUAUAUUUUGCUGUUGCUUCUUUUUCAAAAGGGAUUGAAAUGUUGAAUCCUUUAUAGUCUAGUUGUUUGCCUGACUAUGACAUAAAUUGUGUAUUUAGUAUCAAUUUUUUAAUUUCUCAACAAUUUUGCAAUAGACCUUUGCUUGGACUCUUUACAUGCUUUUGAAAUGCUAAACUUACUUUAUUAAAAAAAAUUGGAGACAAUGCAGUUUGUGAUUUUGGAAUAAAUCAUCAAAAAUGUUUGGCAUUCUUUCAGAAAAUUAAGCAUUUCAUUGUGUAUGGAUGCUUAUUUGUUUCUGUAUAUUCUGUGAGCAUAAGAAGCUUUCUGGCUGAAUUUUUUAUUUAAAGUGAUCGUAUUUUUGAUAAUUUUCAUGGUAUUUUUCAACAGUGCAUGCAUUGACAAAUUUUAUUUUUGGCCGAUUUCUCAAGAAGUCCAGAAACUUAAAGUUUAGUGAAAUAAUCAGUUUUAAUAAAACGAUUGUGUAUGCAGGUGUCAAUAUGACGUAUAAUUUAUCAAUACAUAUAAAUACAAGAGUUUAAACAUGAUAUAAAAUAUUGUUGAAAAAACAACAGCAACAGUUUAUUCUAAGAUCAAUGUCUCAUUGCAAUUUUUCAUAAUAGUGUUUUCGAAGAGGCGUUAUUGAAAACUGUGCUCAUGCUUAUUGCCUUUUUGUGACAAGGUAACAAGGCUGGGUUUACUUUUGUUUUCAUCUCUUAUAAUCAUGUUUAUGUAAUGACAAAGAUAAACCAUCAAUCAUAACUGGCUAAUGACUUUGUUCUCAGUUUUCAAUGACGCAGAUAUCCUAUCAUUUCUUUUAUCAGACAUGUGUUUUCAAAUUAAAAAGUCAUAUAAUUAGAAAAUCCAUAAUGUAAAACUAAUGUGUAUACCCAAAGUUCAUGCAUUAAAAUGUGAAAUUUGAUUUGUUUUGUUUAAGUUAGAAGUGUAAAACAUUUCUUCACUCAAUGUUGUCUGGGACUUCAUGUUUGAGACGAGUUACAUUUUGUGCAAUAUGUGUACAUGAAAAGAGAGCUGUAUUUACGUGUUGUUUUUCCUUUGCCCAUAGGCUUGAAUGCACAUUGUUUUUGUGUGGUGUAUGCCAUGCAUUAAUAUCACUAUUUGUUGACAUAAUUUUUAUGUAUGAAAAUGUGGUUGUUUAAGAUGUACACUAGAUCUAAUUUGAUGUUCUCAUGAAAAACAGGGCUUUAUGCAUGUACGUAAAGGAUCGUCCCACUUAGCCUGUGCUAUCAGAAUCAGCACAUUAUUUUUUGUGUGGUGUAUUCAAUGCGUUAAUAUCACUAUAUAUUUGCACUAUGUACAAACAUGUGGUUGUUUAAGAAGAACACUAGAUCUUACAUGAUUAGGCUUAAGGUUCAUAAUUGAAAUAAUUAUGUUUUCUUGAAACUUUACUAUUGUAAUGUUCUUAACAUAAACUGUUAGCAUUUUUGCUAUGGUUCUUUAAAUGUGAAUCUUAGUAAAAACAAAACAAGGGGCAGAAUAGAGUUUAUGAAUAUUCUGAUCUAUAUUAUACUUUUAAUGCACCAAAAUGUGCAGUCUGCACAGGCUUAUCAGGGACGACACUUUCCAGUUUUAUGGUUGUUUUAGUUUAUAGGAAGUCUCUCUUUUAAUGUCCCCCACUAUAGUAGUGGGGGACAUAUUGUUUUUUCCCUGUCUGUUGGUUGGUCUGUUGGUUGGUUUGCGCCAACUUUAACAUUUUGCACUAACUUUUGCUAUAUUAAAUAUAGCAACUUGAUAUUUGGCAUGCAUGUGUAUCUUAUGGAGCUGCACAUUUUGAGUGGUGAAAGGUCAAGGUCAUCCUUCAAGGUCAGAGGUCAAAUAUAUGUGACCAAAAUCGCUCAUUUUAUGAAUACUUUUGCAAUAUUGAAGAUAGCAACUUGAUAUUUGGCAUGCAUGUGUAUCUCAUGGAGCUGCACAUUUUGAGUGGUGAAAGGUCAAGGUCAUCCUUCAAGGUCAGAGGUCAAAUAUAUGUGGCCCAAAUCGCUUAUUUUAUGAUUACUUUUGCAAUAUUGAAGAUAGCAACUUGAUAUUUGGCAUGCAUGUGUAUCUCAUGGAGCUGCACAUUUUGAGUGAUGAAAGGUCAAGGUCAUCCUUCUAGGUCAAAUAUUUGGGUCAAAAUUGCUCAUGUAAUGUAACUUCUGCAAUAUUGGAGCUAGCAAUUUUAUAUUUGACAUGCAUGUGUAUCUCAUGGAGCUGCACAUUUUGAGUGGUGAAGGGUCAAGGUCAUCCUUCAAGGUCAAACGUCAUAUAGGGGGACAUUGUGUUUCACAAACACAUCUUGUUUUUAGAGAAAAUUUAGUUACGGCAGACGGUAUCUUCACGAUUAGCCUGUGCUACACAUGUUCAUACAGUCCAGUUUUCCCAGUACAAGGCUCUAAUGGCCAACUCAAUAACUGUGAUAAUUCCAGGAAAAACUUUAUGGCUCCAGUUUAAUUUGCUGCUCCCAAUCAUUGUUCCUUUUGUACUUCUUCACUGUGUGAUUUGCAAAUGUUGCUUCUGAUGUCAUGUUUUCUUUUAAGCACUGCCUGAUAAGAAAUUAAGAAAUACAGAGAUUUUCACAAUGCUUAUAUCAUUUUUAAAGAUUUGUAAAAUUAUAAGCAUUUGGAAAUGCAGUUUGUUUUAAUAGUAUUUUAGUUAUUUCAAGUCAGUAGAUUUUUCUUUUCUGGGAAAUAAUUACAAAGCCGUCGUAAUAAAAAAUGUGUGUUAUAUUCAGAGUUUCUUUUAGACAAGCAUGUCAAAUAAAAUACCUGAUGUAUUGUGGCAGUAGUAAAGCUGCUAUUUUGAUUUAAAAGCAAAGCAUGUUGCUGAGAAAUUGUGACUGAGAAAUUUGUGCUAUAAAUUAUAAACAUCUGCCUAAUGUAAACUAAUAGGUGGUGUAGAAAUCAAUUGUGAUCACUGAUCAAUUGUAUAAUUAUCAAAACAAACUGAUUUGUGACAUUUGUCAAUAAAUUAUUUGUACAUAACCUGUAGUGUGAUUUUAUCAAUGCAUGAUUACAAUGUGUCUCAAAAUUUUGAAUAUUUUGGGCAGGUGUAUAUAUGUAUUGCAUGUGAGAUUGUAUGCGUAAAUGAUGUGAUGAAAAUGUGAUUUUUGCCUGAAAAGUGUGUACAAAUGAAUUGCAAAGGUGUUGAAAAAUAUAUGCUUUUAAUCUCUCUUAUUUAUUCGUGAAAUGAUUAAGUAUCAUAUGCACUGAAUAACAAAUAAAAAUUGCAUACACAAAUCUGAACAGCUAUUAAUAAAUGAAUACAUUUUUGAAAUCUUAGACAUGUAUUUUUUACCUUUUUUAGAUUGACAGUGUAUAUUUUCUGAAUUCUACUUUCAAAAUGUGAGGUUUAUCAUGGGUUCAGAAUACAAAAUCGCUAAUAUAUCUAUAUAUAUAUUAUAUGAGCCUAUGCUGUGGGAAAACUGGGUUUAAUGCAUGUGCAUAAAGUAUUAUAGUCCCAAAUAAGCUUGUGAACUCAGCACAGGCUUAUCAGAGUCCACAUUUUACCCCUGGACUGCAUUGGCGUUAAAGGGAUACUUCUUUUAGCAAAACAAAUCCAUUAAAGUGGAAUGUUUUGUCCCUGAUAAGCAUGUGCGGACUUCAUAGGUCAAUCUGUGAUGACACGUUACACACAUGCAUUAACCCUUUCCCACUAAGAAGCAAAGUGAAAAUGGCUAUGUGCAAACAGCAUAAAACCAAAACAGCCUGUGAGUAACUCGCAGUCUGUUCAGGUUUUAUGCUUCUUGCUGAUCAUCAGUAUCUAAGGGUUGGAAAUGAAGCCUUUAAAACUUUAAUUUAGUAAAAAAAAGGUCUUACAUUAAAUUAAAUUUUCUAAGGGAAAACAAAUGUGAAAAAUACGUUUCUAAGUGGUAAAGGGUAAAUUCUGUUUUCCUGGAGCUUAUAAAAAGAAUUGAACUAUACAUUUGAUGAUGCCUUCAUCCAUUCUAUCAGGAUUAUUUCUUGUAUAUGAUACUUAAACAUUUCCUAGGUGUGGUUCGUAGCUCUGUUGUAAACACAAAGACGCCAGACACGUUGAUCGUAUGACUUACCGAAAUGUUGUAUUGAUAACCUCUUUGUGUAGAGUUUUCAUGUCAUUUGUCUGUUUGAAAACAUUUUUGUAUUACAAAUUUAUAUGAAUAAGGUUGUCUUACUGUUUUUUGUAUUAUUAAAAUUCAAAUGGGUUUCUAUUCUGAAAGUUAGUUGGCUAGCAAGUUUAGCAAAACAGAGUUAUUCAAAUGUGAUCUACGUCAUGCAAAAAUGGGUCUUAUGGCCAUUUGCGGCCAGCGUAGCAUCAGACCUACCUGUCCAUCAGCACAUUCUGUCUUGGAGCUUCCCUGUUUGCUAAUGUGACAACAAAACCUAGGAUGACUUAAGUGGAGUGCUUAGCCCCUGACCAGACUGUGUGGAUUUACAGGCUGUUCUAUAGCUAUGUUGGCUGCAUACGGCAUGGUACCCAGUUUGCUUGAUGCAGCUCAUUUAUCAAUGUUCAGCACAGGUAUUCUUGUAAAUACAAUUGGGCUGUGCUCUGUCUAAAGGGGUUUUAAUGCAUGUGCGUUAAGUGUCGACCCAGAUUAGCCUGUGCAGUCAGCUCAGUGCAGUCAGCUCAGUGCAGUCAGCUCAGUGCAGUCAGCUCAGUGCAGUCAGCUCAGUGCAGUCAGCUCAGUGCAGUCAGCUCAGCGCAGUCAGCUCAGUGCAGUCAGCUCAGUGCAGUCAGCUCAGGGCAGUCAGCUCAGGCUAAUCAGGGACAACACUCUCUGCCUGAACUGGAAUUUUGCUAAGAAGAGACUUUUUAUUUAUGCGAAAUACCAUAAAUGCACAAAGUGUAGUUUCAGACUGCACAGGCUAAUCUGGAACACCACUUUACGCACAUUCAUUAAACCCCCCUUUUCAUGGAGUGAGAUUCAUUUAUAAUAAAUCUUUUUUCAAGAAAUCUUUCAAUUCCUGUCCUAUUGAAAGUUUAUUCAGUGUGAAUUUCUAUACAUUUUUAUAUUAUCACCAAAAUGCACUCUUUUUUUAGUUUUUCUUUAACAAUAUAUAAAGUGACAAAGGAAAUUUUAAUUAUUUAGACAUUUUUAAAAGAUAUAACUGACAACACAUGUGCUAUUUUAACAAAAUAUUUUGUAUCAUGUAAUUGUUUUUUCAAAUUUGAGUGUUACAUGUCAAUGUACAAUUAUGGUAUCUGCUCUAAGAUGAAAAAAACAAUUCUUAUUUGCCAAGUUGUAGACAAACAUUUCACAUUCUUCACACCAUUUUUAAAACUUAAAGAAAUCUCCGUAUUUGUUGUUGUAUAUUACAAAAAAGUAUAAUAUUCAAAUUUCUGUCCAUUCUUAGGCUAUAAUUUUACUGCCAAACAAGCUGUUGUUGUUUUAUUAAUCUGAGGAAUAAAAUAAUAAAACAGGAACAAUGGAAAGCACCAUUUUAAGCUGUUUUAUUCACAUCGGCAAUUGCUUCAUAUAUAUUUACCAGGCUAUUCAUUUAAGCAAAAAUUCAUCCAGAACAUAAUGCAUGUUGUUUUUAGCUCACCUGAGCACAAAAUGCUCAUGGUGAGCUUUUGUGAUCGCCUUUUGUCCGUCGUGAGUUGUCCAUUGUGCGACGUCAACAUUUGCCUUGUUCACUCUCUAGAGGACACAUUUAUUGUCCAAUCUUCAUGAAAAUUUGGUCAGAAGAUUGGUUUUAAUGAAUUGCUUUAUAUGGCUAUAGUAAAAUCUUGUUAACACUCUAGAGGCCACAUUUAUUGUCCGAUCUUCAUGAAACUUGGUUAGAAGAUUCAUCCCAAUGAUAUCUUGGACGAGUUCGAAAAUGAUGCCGGUUGGUUGAAAAACAUGGCCGCCAGGGGACAGGGCAUUUUUUCUUAUAUGGCUAUAGUAAAACCUUGUAUACACUCUAGAGGCCACAUUUAUUUUCAGAUCUUCAUAAAAUUUGGUCAGAAGAUUGGUUUAAAUGAUAUCUUGGAUGAGUUCCAAAAUGGUUAAGUUGCUUGAAAAACAUGGCUGCCAAGGGGCGGGGCAUUUUUCCGUAUAUGGCUAUAUAUGGCUAUAGUAAAAUCUUGUUAACACUCUAGAGGCCACAUUUAUUGUCUGAUCUUCAUGAAACUUGGUCUGAAGAUUUAUCCUAAUAAGAUCUUGGACGAGUUCGAAAAUGAUGCCGGUUGGUUGAAAAACAUGGCUGCCAGGGGGCGGGGCAUUUUUCCUUAUAUUGCUAUAGUAAAACCUUGUUAACACUGUAGAGGCCACUUUAAUUAUCCAAUCUUGAUGAAAUAUUGUCAGAAGAUUUGUCUUAAUGAUAUCUUGGAUGAGUUUGAAAAUGGUUACCUUUGCUUGAAUAACAUGGCCACCAAAGGGUGGGGCAUUUUUCCUUAUAUGGCUUUAUAAGGCUAUAGUAAAAUCUUGUUAACACUCUAGAGGCCACAUUUAUUGUCUGAUCUUCAUGAAACUCGGUCAGAAGAUUCAUCCCAAUAAUAUCUUGGACGAGUUCAAAAAUGAUGCCGGUUGGUUGAAAAAGAUGGCUGUCAGGGGUCAACCAACAUGGCUGUCAGGGGGCGGGGCAUUUUUCCUUAUAUGGCUAUAGUAAAACCUUGUUAACACUCUAGAGGCCACAUUUAUUUUCCGAUCUUCGUGAAAUUUGGUCAUAAGAUUUGUCCCAAUAAUAUCUUGUUAUCUCAGUUGAGCGACUUUGGGCCUUUCAGGCCCUCUUGUUGUUUAUAGAAUCAUCAGCCAGAGUAAAUUGUUAAGUAAUAUUUUAGCUUAUAUUUUACCACAUCCUUAACAUUUUACAACACAUCAUUUUACAGCUCUUAACUGCUGCCUUUGACCCACAUUUUGUUCUUACAUUUUUAUCAUAUUUUAAGGUAUUCCUUUACUAUUCAGCAAUGGAAAUGAAACUAUUUCCCUGACUUGUCAUGUUUUUAUGUGGUUAUACUAUAUAUUAUAUACCUGUAUGUGUUUAAAUUUGUAUGGUGACUGUCGACAGAGACAAAUAAACCAAGGUAAUUAAAUGUU